RNAcentral lists this long non-coding RNA (319 nucleotides) under Mus musculus (house mouse). Its description in RNAcentral is "long non-coding RNA chr9:70531346-70531665". The record is from RNAcentral. Lineage: Eukaryota; Metazoa; Chordata; Mammalia; Rodentia; Muridae.
GCUGGGCGUGGUGGCGCACGCCUUUAAUCCCAGCACUCGGGAGGCAGAGGCAGGCGGAGUUGGAGGCCAGCCUGGUCUACAAAGUGAGUUCCAGGACAGCCAGGGCUAUACAGAGAAACCCUGUCUUGAAAAACCAAAAGAAAAAAAAAAGAUUCAGGGUGGCGUAUAAGGUUUAUGUCUCGUUGGGUUAUAUUAUUUAUAACUAAGUAGCAGUUGAAAGAAACAUAUAUAUUCCUUUUUUUUUUUUUUUUUUUUUUUGGUUUUUUGAGACAGGGUUUCUCUGUGUAGCUCUGGCUGUCCUGGAACUCACUCUGUAGAC